Molecule: transfer RNA, 23 nt
Filed under: Taxus baccata (English yew)
Lineage: Eukaryota; Viridiplantae; Streptophyta; Pinopsida; Cupressales; Taxaceae
Also listed under: 27 other names
Description: partial tRNA-Phe
Source: RNAcentral
GUCGGGAUAGCUCAGUUGGUAGA